CCUACGGGAGACAGCAGUAGGGAAUAUUGCGCAAUGGGCGAAAGCCUGACGCAGCAACGCCGCGUGAGUGAGACGGUCUUCGGGGUGGAAAGAUCCGUUAGUGGGGACGAAACGUGACGGUACCCACAGAGGAAGCACCGGCUAACUCCGUGCCAGCAGCCGCGGUAAUACGGAGGGUGCAAGCGUUGUCCGGAAUCAUUGGGCGUAAAGAGUUCGUAGGCGGCAGGGAAAGUCUGGUGUUAAAGGCAGAGGCUCAACUUCGGUACGGCUCUGGAUACUGGCGAGCUAGAGUGCGGUAGAGGUAAGGGGAAUUCCUGGUGUAGCGGUGAAAUGCUUAGAUAUCAGGAGGAACAUCGGUGGCGAAGGCGCUUUACUGGGCCGUAAUUGACGCUGAGGAACGAAAGCCAGGGUAGCAAAUAGGAUUAGAUACCCCAGUAGUC
RNAcentral lists this ribosomal RNA (440 nucleotides) under uncultured bacterium. RNAcentral's name for it is "partial 16S ribosomal RNA". It matches the Rfam family "Bacterial small subunit ribosomal RNA", at positions 338 to 795 of the family's 1533-position model. The record is from RNAcentral.